AGCUCCAAUAGCGUAUAUUAAAGUUGUUGCAGUUAAAAAUCUCGUAGUUAGCCUUCUAGUGGGAGCGAUCGGUCUGACACUUCGUGUGGGUACUUGUAUCAUCUCCCGCCAUCCUUGGGGAGAGCCUGUCUGGCAUUAAGUUGUUGGGCAGGGGAUCCCCAUAGUUUACUGUGAAAAAAUUAGAGUGUUCAAAGCAGGCUUAUGCUGUUGAAUAUAUUAGCAUGGAAUAAUAAGAUAGGACCUCGGUACUAUUUUGUUGGUUUGCGCCCCAAGGUAAUGAUUAAUAGGGACAGUUGGGGGUAUUCGUAUUGCGCUGUCAGAGGUGAAAUUCUUGGAUUAGCGCAAGAAGAAAUACUGCGAAAGCAUUUACCAAGGAUGUUUUCA
This 384-nucleotide ribosomal RNA is filed under the name uncultured eukaryote. RNAcentral describes it as "SSU rRNA". It matches the Rfam family "Eukaryotic small subunit ribosomal RNA", at positions 587 to 972 of the family's 1831-position model. The record is from RNAcentral.